Molecule: long non-coding RNA, 1064 nt
Filed under: Felis catus (domestic cat)
Lineage: Eukaryota; Metazoa; Chordata; Mammalia; Carnivora; Felidae
Description: lncRNA (ENSFCAG00000053297.1)
Source: RNAcentral
GGCAGCAGGAGCCCCACUGCGGGCUUGUGGGCACGCCCCGUGAGAGUGGGCCUGGGCGCGGCCCUGGGCCCACGAGACCUGGACGUCCCUGUCACAGCAAAGGCAGGGGCGAGCGCCGUGGGAGGACCCCACCCCUAUACUGACUCUCAUGUGGGGGAGGGGGCGGCGCCCAGGCCUCCCAAAGAAACACGGUCACAUUUUCCCCGGAAAUUCUGUCAGGUGUUUGGAGAAAUGCGGUUGUUUCUUUACUAAAACUGCCCGGGACCUAAUUACAGGACGAGGAGUGUUGCUGGGCCAGGAAGGAAGAAGCCCAGGCCCGUGCUGGUUGCUCCUCUCUCUCUCUCAUCGUGCGGUCAUGAGGGGGUCUUGCAGCUCCCAGACAGCCAUGCCCUCGGGAGCAGGGGUGCAGGGACCGGCAGGGGAGACCUGGAGACCCCCUCAGACAUCCACGAGUUACUCCACGGAGCUGUCAUCCAGCAAGACGACCAGACAGCAAAGGACGCCACGGAAGGACCUCAGCCGCCCCUUGGUGGGGCCGGAGGGCACGCACCCAAAUCACCUGGGGCCGACUUGAGCCACCUCCCCCCUCCAGCAUGUGGGCAUCGGGUCCCCGGUUGCCAGGGCAACCGCAUAAAGGACUCGAGUGUCCUUCUGCAGUCGAGCGUAAUGUCCCCGGAUGCUCGAGAUGCCAGGUCCUAGUAAGACAGGACAAAUGUACCCGGGCGUCACUCAGCCAGGACCGCCUGCUGGACAGGGAGGUGUGGAGGCCGGGCUGACCCCUGACGGCAGGGUGCCCUGGGCACACCUGACGUGCAAAGUGAGUGAGAUGAUUCGGAGAAAGUGGGAUUUCGAUGUUGGUGAGAAGGAGGGCAGUCAUUUCAUUCUUUCAAUUUGUAAGAACUUGGGAAGGUUUUUCCUUCUUAGGUUCCUGUCUUUGCCCUGUUGGAGAUUCGAAGCCUUUAAAGAAGGAAUCGAAAUGUAUUUAGUUUAGAAAUGCAGUUUUAAAUGUGUCGUGGAAUUUAAUUAGUGAAGUUUGUAAAUAAAACCGAGAUUUAAUUUGUUCA